RNAcentral lists this ribosomal RNA (399 nucleotides) under uncultured bacterium. RNAcentral describes it as "partial 16S ribosomal RNA". It matches the Rfam family "Bacterial small subunit ribosomal RNA", at positions 360 to 773 of the family's 1533-position model. The record is from RNAcentral.
AAUAUUGCGCAAUGGGGGGAACCCUGACGCAGCAACGCCGCGUGAGUGAAGAAGGCCUUCGGGUCGUAAAACUCUGUCAUUAGGGAAGAAUAAAGUGACGGUACCUAAUGAGGAAGCCCCGGCUAACUACGUGCCAGCAGCCGCGGUAAUACGUAGGGGGCGAGCGUUGUCCGGAAUUAUUGGGCGUAAAGGGUGCGUAGGCGGCCUUUUAAGUCAGAUGUGAAGGCCCACGGCUUAACCGUGGGACUGCAUUUGAAACUGGAGGGCUUGAGUAUCGGAGAGGGUAGUGGAAUUCCCAGUGUAGCGGUGGAAUGCGUAGAUAUUGGGAGGAACGCCAGUGGCGAAGGCGACUACCUGGACGAAAACUGACGCUGAGGCACGAAAGCUAGGGGAGCAAAC